RNAcentral lists this ribosomal RNA (210 nucleotides) under uncultured bacterium. RNAcentral's name for it is "partial 16S ribosomal RNA". It matches the Rfam family "Bacterial small subunit ribosomal RNA", at positions 325 to 533 of the family's 1533-position model. The record is from RNAcentral.
CGCGGGAUUACUCCUACGGAGGCAGCAGUAAGGAAUAUUGGUCAAUGCCCGCAAGGGUGAACCAGCCAUUCCGCGUGGAGGAUGAAGGCCCUAUGGGUUGUAAACUUCUUUUAGAUGGGAAGAAAAUGCUAGACGUAUCUGGUACUGACGGUACCAUUAGAAUAAGCACCGGCUAACUCCGUGCCAGCAGCCGCGGUAAUAAUCACUAGU